This 1364-nucleotide long non-coding RNA is filed under the name Vigna radiata. RNAcentral describes it as "long non-coding RNA (VRAD_LNC017595)". Lineage: Eukaryota; Viridiplantae; Streptophyta; Magnoliopsida; Fabales; Fabaceae. The record is from RNAcentral.
UGAGACACACUCUUGGGCUCCCAUAGCCACACUUCAUACUUCAUGUUUUUAAACUUUUCUCUCCUAGGGUUUCAUGGAUGAACAUGCCUUAAGGGAGCUUGCUUGGUAUUGCGGUUUUGGGCCAUUUGAAUGAAGAAAGUUGCAUAUUUUCUUUGUCUCUUAACUUACUCUUGGUUGUCUUAGCUUGUUGGUGGUGAAAAACCAUUCAUUUCUACUUCCAUUUGCUUGUUCUUCAUGCUUGAAGCUUGAGCUUUGGAGCUUGUCUUUGCAUUUCAAUGGUGGAUGUUGGGUUUGAGUAACUUUAUAUUUCGUUUUCCUAUCCUUUUGCUACUGUUUCUCUCAAUUUUCAUCUCAUUUUAAUUGGUUGGAUGAUAAAAAUGGAGUUCUAUGUGAGUUUUGGGUUGAAAAGAGCUUAAGUUGAUGUGUGGGCGUUGUGGUUUGGACUCUUUCUUCUUGAUUUUCGGUUUUGAUGUUUGAAACAAGGAUGGGACUAGAUUUUGGUGUUGUUAUUGUGGCUGGACAGAGCUGGAAUUNAUUNNUUGGUUAUCAUUUUCGUUUUUNCAAGGGAAAUUGAAGAAAUGGAAGAUUUGGUUAGGUUGAAGUAGCAUAUGUUUGGGUUUAUUGUUCAUGACUUGUUUUGAAUUGGAUUCCUUGAGUUUUAUGGUGUAUGUUUCAGUAAAAUGGAGGAANAAAACAUGAAUNGUNUGUUGGUAGGNAAAGAAAAACGAAAAUGGAGAUAGGAAGGAGGAGAGAAGGUGCAUUAAGUUUUUACCCGAUUUGGACAAGCACAAAAGAUGCUCACUUUCACUCUAAGAAUGUUUCCACUUUUGAAUUUUGUCUUUUCGUUGCUUGUUCCAGCCGUGAAUCACCAUGAGAACGGAGGAUGUUUGAGGUUAUUUUCUUUGCUUUUACUUUGCUUACAUGGGACCUUGGGUGAAGCAUUCAAAGUAUCUUUCAUUUGCACAUUGGUCUUUGAAGCAACUUUUUGUAGAAGCUCCUUGCUAGCUCACGACAAUUGUGUCUUGGUUUGUGGAUUUUAUUUUUCUUUGCUUCAUGGUUGAAGAGAGAGGACGGUUUUAUUGUGUUUGGAAUGCACAUGUUUAAUUUCUUGAGAAAUGGUGCACAUGGGACAAGAAGUCAACACAUUUUUAUGGCUUAUUGAAGGAAGAAAAGUGGACUUGGAUGUUGGAGGGCUGCACCUCACGGCCAUGAGGUUCUAUUUGGCCAAUUGGACUUUUAAAAUUAAUUGCUAAUUGUCAUUUAGUCAAGUAAUUUGCUAGGAUUAAAUUAGGCUUGUUGGUUUCUUUGGUUUUUAAUUAAUUUAGUUAAUAGGUUGAGUUUAAUGUGUUUGAAUUAGUGUGGAG